Molecule: small nuclear RNA, 143 nt
Filed under: Carlito syrichta (Philippine tarsier)
Lineage: Eukaryota; Metazoa; Chordata; Mammalia; Primates; Tarsiidae
Description: U1 spliceosomal RNA (ENSTSYG00000020813.2)
Rfam family: U1 spliceosomal RNA
About the family: U1 is a small nuclear RNA (snRNA) component of the spliceosome (involved in pre-mRNA splicing). Its 5' end forms complementary base pairs with the 5' splice junction, thus defining the 5' donor site of an intron.
Source: RNAcentral
AUACUCAUCUGGCAGGGGAGAUACCAUGAUCAUGAAGGUGAUUUCCCAAGGUGAAGUAUAUGCUGAUCCCUGCAAUUUCACUAAAUGUGGGAAACUCGACUGCUUAAUUUGCAGUAGUGACUGACUGCGUUCGUCCUCUCUCC